UCCAACUUAUAUCUAAUUUAAAACUAAAUAUCACAACCACGUCACGGGAACCGUACCUGUAGUUGUAAUAAUAUAAUUAAGUGCCUAAAGCAAGCUACGACGUUUGAACUAUUCCCUAAAAAAAACUAAAAUCGAACGAGACAAAUAAUUACCUACAUUAAAUUGAUCAAAACUGCUCCUACCAAUUUGAGAUAUCCAGCUUAACGGAAGGGAAAGGGAUUAGACAUGAUUAAUGUAGAAUUUUGUGAACACCUGUGAGUAUUUCCUCGUAGCAACUUUUAACCAAAUUGUCAGAUACAUGAAAUGCAAUGACAACUAAAUUUGUAAUCUACAUGUAGCAUUCUGGAUUCAGCAAUUCAUUUAGAGAAAUCAAAUUGGUAAUACCAAUAUCCGACUGAACAAUUAGUAAAGCCAAGUCCAACAGGCAACACCUGAACAAGUUAAACCAAAUCUACUAGCAACAGAGCAAAAAUAUAAAUCAGAACCAACAGAAGGAACAGUUUAAGCAUUCUUUGACUCGAUCCGUGUCAAACUCCUACGGUCAUUCUUAGCCAAAUUCAUGAUUCCAGGGCAUUAAGCAAAACUGAAAUAGCAACUUAUGACAAAUGAAAUGGCACUCAAGCACACACAAGGGUUAAACAGGGCCAACUGAAGCAUGGCCAUCCCACACGAUUUAACAGGACCUGGUACCUAAAGUGCAAUGUUUAUCAGAAUGGACAAAGGCGCAUAGCUCAACUAGCAAAUGCAAAAUGAUCUCAAAGGAAACAAAUCCACACUAUUACACAAGCUUCAUAUGAUAUUUUGUUUAAGGAGUUUAGUGAUAGAAUCAUGCUAAAAACAAACAUGAACACCCAUUGAUCCUUCCAACAUGAUCUGUGUCUGCAACUAGCACAUAUGAUCUUUUAAACUAAGAUCAGCACAUGGAAUUGAAGAUAUGAAAAUAAAUUGCAUUGAAUGCAGAAUGACACCUCACUUCCUUGGAUUCUCUAUUAAUGGUCCACUCUACACUCUUACCUCAUACAGUCACAGACAUUCACAGAUCGAAGAUGCAGAAGAAGAAGUAAGACUAGCCAGUGUGCGAGUUACUAAGCAAUUGAGAAAAGCACCUCACAAAAUUUUUGAAAUUCACGAGCCCUCUAAUUCAAGUUUGAACUUCAGCAGCUUCAAACCAACAAAACAUGCGAAAAUGAUCAUGAAAUCAGAGAAAGGGGAAACUCUUCAGUGAUUCAUGUCGAACAUAUUGAGACCAAGACAGAAGAUACAAGAAGAUUAACUUGAAUAUCAAAUCAUAUCAUAUGCAACAGCAGAAGCACAAGAAAAUCUCGUCUUAUGAAGCGAUCGUUCCUUAACAACAUGACAAAAAAUUCUGACCAACAACACUUUGAAAAAAAACAACUGUUCAAGUAAAGAGGGUGAUUCUAGUUUGAAGCUUCUAGUAAAUGAGGAAGAUUUCACAAGAACAAAUCAUUUAUAGUCCAAAAAACAAACAUCACGAGAAUAAGAAUCCUAGAUUCAUGCUCGCUUAAAAAUCACAAAAAGCUGAAGACAUCGUUCAUUUGAAAGCGAUGAAAUCUUGACUCAAUAUAUAUUUCGACCCCGUAAUAACAGUUACAGCAUACAGGGAAUAGAAGACGAACACUCAAACCAGCUUUUAUUAGUUGACCACAUUUAGCACAUAUCAAAUAUCAUUUCCGAAUAUGAAUCGGGACUAAAUGAUAAAUCCAAACUCGACUCCUUCAUGAGGUUUGAUCACAGAACAAAGAACAAACCAUUCUAAAGACAGAAAUCCCAUAGCUCAAGAACAUCUCAAAAACAAAGUUACAUGGGAGAAAAGAUCAAACCUGAAAUGGCAAACUUCUUUUAAUAAUUAUAGACUCAAUAAUACACCUUUUGACUCCAAAUCCUAGCGAGGUUCAGCAGCAAAUCAGCAGGAAAACAGUAGCAAAGCGAAGUCAACGAACUUGAACCUCACGACCAAUCGAUAGACCUUAGUUCAUUUUUCAUGCCUUUGGAACUCAAAGUCCGAUUGAAAAAUUAAGAAAAAUUGUAUGUUCUUCUUCAAACCUUUAAAAGAAACUUUUAGAGAAGAGAAAUGAGAAGAAGAAAAAAAUCCUUAAACCUUUCCUCUCCAAUUUUUUACCCCAAAAUUCUCUGUCCUCUACAAAAUCAGAUGAGGUCCCUUUUUAAAAACGAACAGCUGAUGAAUGUGAGGCUUGGAUUGAGUGAAAUGGAUCCAACACCUCUCACUCAUCCAACGCUCGCCCUCAAGAACCUUCCAUCGCGUGAUAUAGCUCGAAAUCGGGGGAGUCAGGGAGGGGGAAUCUUUUUGGUGUCAGAAACCGUUACACCUAUGUGGCAAGGGGAGAGAGGGGGGAAGCGUGUGAGGUGAGUUAGGGGGUGAACUCGGGCGAGUUUGGGCGAGGCAGAGGUGAGUUUUGGUGAAAGAGAAUAUGAACAAUGAGGGCACCGCUUGAGUCUUG
Molecule: long non-coding RNA, 2480 nt
Filed under: Nicotiana tabacum (common tobacco)
Lineage: Eukaryota; Viridiplantae; Streptophyta; Magnoliopsida; Solanales; Solanaceae
Description: long non-coding RNA (NTAB_LNC008490)
Source: RNAcentral